GCGGAAGUGGCGGAACUGGCAAACGCGCAGCGUUCAGGACGCUGUGGGCGAAAGCCCUUAGGAGUUCAACUCUCCUCUUCCGCACCA
RNAcentral lists this transfer RNA (87 nucleotides) under Candidatus Omnitrophota bacterium. RNAcentral describes it as "tRNA-Leu". It matches the Rfam family "tRNA". From Rfam's summary of the family: Transfer RNA (tRNA) molecules are approximately 80 nucleotides in length. Their secondary structure includes four short double-helical elements and three loops (D, anti-codon, and T loops). Further hydrogen bonds mediate the characteristic L-shaped molecular structure. tRNAs have two regions of fundamental functional importance: the anti-codon, which is responsible for specific mRNA codon recognition, and the 3' end, to which the tRNAs corresponding amino acid is attached (by aminoacyl-tRNA synthetases). tRNAs cope with the degeneracy of the genetic code in two manners: having more than one tRNA (with a specific anti-codon) for a particular amino acid; and 'wobble' base-pairing, i.e. permitting non-standard base-pairing at the 3rd anti-codon position. The record is from RNAcentral. Lineage: Bacteria; Pseudomonadati; Candidatus Omnitrophota.